AAUAGAUACCCAGGUAGUCCACGCCGUAAACGUUGGGCGCUAGAUGUGGGGACCAUUCCACGGUUUCCGUGUCGCAGCUAACGCAUUAAGCGCCCCGCCUGGGGAGUACGGCCGCAAGGCUAAAACUCAAAGGAAUUGACGGGGGCCCGCACAAGCGGCGGAGCAUGCGGAUUAAUUCGAUGCAACGCGAAGAACCUUACCAAGGCUUGACAUAUACGAGAACGCUCUAGAAAUAGAGAACUCUUUGGACACUCGUAUACAGGUGGUGCAUGGUUGUCGUCAGCUCGUGUCGUGAGAUGUUGGGUUAAGUCCCGCAACGAGCGCAACCCUCGUUCUAUGUUGCCAGCGGUUCGGCCGGGAACUCAUAGGAGACUGCCGGGGUCAACUCGGAGGAAGGUGGGGAUGACGUCAAAUCAUCAUGCCCCUUAUGUCUUGGGCUUCACGCAUACUACAAUGGCCGGUACAAAGGGCUGCAAUACCGCAAGGUGAGCGAAUCCCAAAAGCCGGUCUCAGUUCGGAUUGAGGU
This 526-nucleotide ribosomal RNA is filed under the name uncultured bacterium. Its description in RNAcentral is "bacterial SSU rRNA". It matches the Rfam family "Bacterial small subunit ribosomal RNA", at positions 777 to 1304 of the family's 1533-position model. The record is from RNAcentral.